Molecule: ribosomal RNA, 403 nt
Filed under: bacterium
Lineage: Bacteria
Description: partial 16S ribosomal RNA
Rfam family: Bacterial small subunit ribosomal RNA
Source: RNAcentral
UGGGGAAUAUCGCACAAUGGAGGGAACUCUGAUGCAGCGACGCCGCGUGAACGAAGAAGGCUUUCGAGUCGUAAAGUUCUUUUAUAUGGGAAGAUAAUGACGGUACCAUAAGAAAAAGCCCCGGCUAACUACGUGCCAGCAGCCGCGGUAAUACGUAGGGGGCUAGCGUUGUCCGGAAUCACUGGGCGUAAAGGGUUCGCAGGCGGAAAUGCAAGUCAGGUGUAAAAGGCAGUAGCUUAACUACUGUAAGCAUUUGAAACUGCAUAUCUUGAGAAGAGUAGAGGUAAGUGGAAUUUUUAGUGUAGCGGUGAAAUGCGUAGAUAUUAAAAAGAAUACCGGUGGCGAAGGCGGCUUACUGGGCUCAUUCUGACGCUGAGGAACGAAAGCGUGGGUAGCAAACAGG